Molecule: transfer RNA, 85 nt
Filed under: Micromonospora craniellae
Lineage: Bacteria; Bacillati; Actinomycetota; Actinomycetes; Micromonosporales; Micromonosporaceae
Description: Verrucosispora sp. LHW63014 tRNA-Ser
Rfam family: tRNA
About the family: Transfer RNA (tRNA) molecules are approximately 80 nucleotides in length.
Source: RNAcentral
GGAGGAUUCGCCUAGCGGCCUAGGGCGCACGCUUGGAAAGCGUGUUGGGUUUACACCCUCACGAGUUCGAAUCUCGUAUCCUCCG